RNAcentral lists this ribosomal RNA (465 nucleotides) under uncultured Klebsiella sp. Its description in RNAcentral is "bacterial SSU rRNA". It matches the Rfam family "Bacterial small subunit ribosomal RNA", at positions 338 to 795 of the family's 1533-position model. The record is from RNAcentral. Lineage: Bacteria; Pseudomonadati; Pseudomonadota; Gammaproteobacteria; Enterobacterales; Enterobacteriaceae.
CCUACGGGAGGCUGCAGUGGGGAAUAUUGCACAAUGGGCGCAAGCCUGAUGCAGCCAUGCCGCGUGUGUGAAGAAGGCCUUCGGGUUGUAAAGCACUUUCAGCGGGGAGGAAGGCGGUGAGGUUAAUAACCUCAUCGAUUGACGUUACCCGCAGAAGAAGCACCGGCUAACUCCGUGCCAGCAGCCGCGGUAAUACGGAGGGUGCAAGCGUUAAUCGGAAUUACUGGGCGUAAAGCGCACGCAGGCGGUCUGUCAAGUCGGAUGUGGAAUCCCCGGGCUCAACCUGGGAACUGCAUUCGAAACUGGCAGGCUAGAGUCUUGUAGAGGGGGGUAGAAUUCCAGGUGUAGCGGUGAAAUGCGUGGAGAUCUGGAGGAAUACCGGUGGCGAAGGCGGCCCCCUGGACAAAGACUGACGCUCAGGUGCGAAAGCGUGGGGAGCAAACAGGAUUAGAUACCCGGGUAGUC